Molecule: ribosomal RNA, 478 nt
Filed under: uncultured Planctomycetales bacterium
Lineage: Bacteria; Pseudomonadati; Planctomycetota; Planctomycetia; Planctomycetales
Description: bacterial SSU rRNA
Rfam family: Bacterial small subunit ribosomal RNA
Source: RNAcentral
UUUCGCAAUGCCCGAAAGGGUGACGAAGCGACGCCGCGUGUGGGAAGAAGGCCUUCGGGUUGUAAACCACUGUCGGGAGUUAAGAAAGGUGUACGGGUAAAUAGUCCGUGCAUUUGACAAAAGCUCCGGAGGAAGCCACGGCUAACUCUGUGCCAGCAGCCGCGGUAAUACAGAGGUGGCAAGCGUUGUUCGGAAUUAUUGGGCGUAAAGAGCACGUAGGCGGCCCUGCAAGUCAGCUGUGAAAGCCUCCUGCUUAACGGGAGAAGUGCAGUUGAAACUACGGGGCUAGAGUGCGGAAGGGGAGAGUGGAACUUCUGGUGGAGCGGUGAAAUGCGUAGAUAUCAGAAGGAACGCCGGCGGCGAAAGCGACUCUCUGGUCCGAAACUGACGCUGAGUGUGCGAAAGCUAGGGGAACAAACGGGAUUAGAUACCCCGGUAGUCCUAGCCGUAAACGAUGGGCACUAAGUAGAGGGGUUUU